Molecule: transfer RNA, 72 nt
Filed under: Schistosoma japonicum
Lineage: Eukaryota; Metazoa; Platyhelminthes; Trematoda; Strigeidida; Schistosomatidae
Description: tRNA-OTHER
Source: RNAcentral
GACUCAGUUGCCCAAUGGUUAAGCGCUAGUCGGGGAGCCAGAGGGUCUUGGGUUCGAUCCCCGAUGGGGUCG